This 495-nucleotide long non-coding RNA is filed under the name Mytilus galloprovincialis (Mediterranean mussel). The record is from RNAcentral. Lineage: Eukaryota; Metazoa; Mollusca; Bivalvia; Mytilida; Mytilidae.
CAUUGAACAUUUUGUUUUCAAUAGUCACAUGUGUAAACAUGUAUAUUUCCCAUCUUUUAUUUGUUAAAGCUUAUCUUUUUAAAGAUUUGUUUUGUUGUUAACAUGAUUAUAUUCAUUUCAGUGGAUUUUUUUGCAACUUAUACAUUACUAUGCAAUUUUGGUAUAAGACAAUUAGUUGUUUCAGAAUUUUCCCGGUUAAAAACAAAAAUUUCAAAAGUGCACAAUCAGCUAACUUGAUUGGUUAAAAAUGUUCCAAACAAUUGAAACUCAACCAACGACAUGAUGUUAUAAUUAUUUUUGGGUACCAAGAAUGAAAUUAUACCAAAUCCUUCAGAUUCUUGAAUUGUGAACUUAAAACAGUAUCUCGGAUGAAAUACGUUUAUCUUAAUGUGUUAAAAAUUCAAUAUCUUAUAACCAUGAUGUCCAAAUUAAAUUAUAAAAAUUAAAUCUUCUAAUUCGUAUUGUAUUUCUUGAAAUAAAAUAUCAUUUAAAUGA